This 320-nucleotide unclassified non-coding RNA is filed under the name fungal sp. RNAcentral describes it as "partial internal transcribed spacer region". The stretch from base 1 to 45 matches the Rfam family "Eukaryotic small subunit ribosomal RNA", at positions 1787 to 1831 of the family's 1831-position model. Lineage: Eukaryota; Fungi. The record is from RNAcentral.
AGUCGUAACAAGGUUUCCGUAGGUGAACCUGCGGAAGGAUCAUUAACACGUAUCCAACGUAACCCUGUGAACUUUCAGCGCUCUUGUAACCCAGGCGGAACAGCAAUCCCGGAAAAUCAAUGGAUUUUUGAUUCUGUCCAAAAGGUAUCAAGUUACAAUCGAGCUAGGCAGUGGCAUGGUUUCCCUAAACAGUGCAGAAGGAUCCACUGAGUACGGAUAACGCAUUACGGUUGCCAGAGGUCGAUCUUGCCUAAUCAUGCCCGGCGGAAACGCCGGGCACAAAAACUGAACAACUGUUAACAAUGGAUAUCUUGGUUCUC